Non-coding RNA from Aspergillus bertholletiae, 96 nucleotides. The record is from the annotation of a GenBank genome assembly. NCBI's taxonomy places the organism in Eukaryota, Fungi, Ascomycota, Eurotiomycetes, Eurotiales, Aspergillaceae.
GCCCGGUUAGCUCAGUCGGAAGAGCGUGAGACUUUUAGGUUAUCAAUAGAGAAGCCUGCUAUCUCAAUGUCAGGGGUUCGAGCCCCCUAUCGGGCG